RNAcentral lists this ribosomal RNA (424 nucleotides) under Verrucomicrobiota bacterium. RNAcentral describes it as "Verrucomicrobia bacterium partial 16S ribosomal RNA". It matches the Rfam family "Bacterial small subunit ribosomal RNA", at positions 355 to 776 of the family's 1533-position model. Lineage: Bacteria; Pseudomonadati; Verrucomicrobiota. The record is from RNAcentral.
UGAGGAAUAUUGGUCAAUGGACGCAAGUCUGAACCAGCCAAGUAGCGUGCAGGAUGACGGCCCUAUGGGUUGUAAACUGCUUUUAUAUGGGGAUAAAGUGGGGAACGUGUUCCCUUUUGCAGGUACCAUAUGAAUAAGGACCGGCUAACUUCGUGCCAGCAGCCGCGGUAAUACGAAGGGGGCUAGCGUUGUUCGGAUUUACUGGGCGUAAAGCGCACGUAGGCGGACUAUUAAGUCAGGGGUGAAAUCCCGGGGCUCAACCCCGGAACUGCCUUUGAUACUGGUAGUCUUGAGUUCGAGAGAGGUGAGUGGAAUUCCGAGUGUAGAGGUGAAAUUCGUAGAUAUUCGGAGGAACACCAGUGGCGAAGGCGGCUCACUGGCUCGAUACUGACGCUGAGGUGCGAAAGCGUGGGGAGCAAACAGG